This 1143-nucleotide unclassified non-coding RNA is filed under the name Hevea brasiliensis (rubber tree). The record is from RNAcentral. Lineage: Eukaryota; Viridiplantae; Streptophyta; Magnoliopsida; Malpighiales; Euphorbiaceae.
AGCUUCCCUGUUGCUUCUUACCAUUAAUGAACUACCAACUCAUAUCUUAAUUGACAGAACAACUUAGCAAAGUAGCUCAUAUCUAAAAUUCAGGUAUCUAAACACAGCCUUAAAGUCUUCUAAAUUUAUAUCCUUGCCCCUUGUUUGUUGUUCGUCUUCUGCUUUUGUUUCCCUACCAAAAGCUUCAUAUAGGUACAUAAAAUGACAAUAUCCUUAAUCUUUUCUACUAUUCCUCUGAACUUAUGCCAUGGGUAAACGGUAAACCUAUGUCAACCCCUCAAACUCCUCCAUCUUUGAAACUAUUUUUAGCAUCCGUUCUCAACAACAAUGGUGAGAACAUGUGCAACAUCCCAGUUUCUUGCUAGGUAAAGGGCAAAGCCAAAUGGAGAACAAUACAUUUGUAUAAUUUUAGUACCUGAACCUCUAUCUGUUAGCUGUAAGAACCAGAUGAAGAUAAUUUUUCCCAUUUACGCAUUUUUUGCAACAAUGAAGCAAGCAUUAAAAAUUUUCACGUCUUUCAACUAAGAUCCAGGAUUUGUUUAGACAUCUAGUCACUAAUAACAAAAAAUGCAAACCCGACAUAUAGCAAAUAAUCAUUCUUAGCCGUAAAUGGACCAAAAGCUUUAAACUCAAAAUGAGAACUGAAAAGAACCUCAAAAUGAGCAAACCCAAAACGCUACGACCCUCAAUUAACCAAAAUUCCUCCAGGAACGAGCUAUAAACAGAGAAAAACAUCAAACUCACAACGAAAAAAGACAAUGCACUCACAAAUUCAUAAAAUUCCAAAGCAGCUAACAAAAGAAAAGGAAAAAGCAAAUAGAGAAACGAAAGAAAUGUAUGGAACAAGAGUCUCGGUCACAGAUCUAUCAAGAGAGAAACUCCAAACAUAUCAAAGUUCCAACAGAAUCAGCGGGUCUGUUUCAUCCAACAGCAAUAAGAAAUCAUCCAUACACAUUGAAAAGCUCAAAAACCAAAAAGGAAUACAUAAGAAGAAGAAGAAGGGAAAGAAGGAGAGAGCGAGAGAGCUAGAUGAGCUUACUGUGUUCUUGGAAGCUCCUGGGACUUAUCAGUGACAGUCUAGAGAGCUCUACAGACAGUACAGAGAGAAAGGGUGUGAGGGAGAGAGAGAGAGACCGCUUUUAG